UGCUAGUCGAGCGCCUCCCAGCCACGACGGAGGCGCGGCGCACAGCUCAGUAACACGUGGCUAACCUGCCCUCGGGACGGGAAUACCCCCGGGAAACUGGGGCUAAUCCUCGAUAGGUGAAGAACUCUGGAAUGAGUCUCCGCCCAAAAGACGCUUAAAUCAUGCUUUUAGGCGCCGCCCAAGGAUGGGGCCGCGACCGAUCAGGUAGUUGGUGAGGCAACGGCUCACCAAGCCUCUAACCGGUGCGGGCCGUGGGAGCGGGAGCCCGGAGAUGGGCACUGAGACAAGGGCCCAGGCCCUACGGGGCGCAGCAGUCGCGAAAACUUUGCAAUACACGAAGGUGUGACAGGGCUAUCCCGAGUGCCAUCCGCUGAGGAAGGCUUUUACCCAGUCUAGAAAGCUGGGAGAAUAAGGAGAGGGCAAGUCUGGUGUCAGCCGCCGCGGUAAUACCAGCUCUCCGAGUGGUGUGGAUGUUUAUUGGGCCUAAAGCAUCCGUAGCUGGCCAGGUUAGUCCCCUGUUAAAUCCACCGAAUUAAUCGUUGGUGUGCGGGGGAUACUGCUCGGCUAGGGGACGAGAGAGGCCGACGGUAUUUUCGGGGUAGGGGUGAAAUCCUAUAAUCCCGAGAGGACCACCAGUGGCGAAGGCUGUCGGCUAGAACGCGCCCGACGGUGAGGGAUGAAAGCUGGGGGAGCGAACCGGAUUAGAUACCCGGGUAGUCCCAGCUGUAAACGAUGCAGGCUAGGUGUUUGGGCGGCCACGGGCCGCUCUAGUGCCGCAGGGAAGCUGUUAAGCCUGCCGC
RNAcentral lists this ribosomal RNA (800 nucleotides) under uncultured archaeon. RNAcentral describes it as "bacterial SSU rRNA". It matches the Rfam family "Archaeal small subunit ribosomal RNA", at positions 52 to 827 of the family's 1478-position model. The record is from RNAcentral.